Molecule: ribosomal RNA, 493 nt
Filed under: uncultured bacterium
Lineage: Bacteria
Description: partial 16S ribosomal RNA
Rfam family: Bacterial small subunit ribosomal RNA
Source: RNAcentral
GAUGAACGCUAGCUACAGGCUUAACACAUGCAAGUCGUGGGGCAGCGGAUACUUAGCUUGCUAAGUAUGCCGGCGACCGGCGCACGGGUGAGUAACGCGUACCGAACCUGCCCAUCACACAGGGAUAGGCUUGCGAAAGCAAGAUUAAUAUCUGAUGGUCUCAAUUUUAUGCAUGUAUGAUUGAGUAAGGCCUUCGGGCGGUGAUGGAUGGCCGUGCGUCCCAUUAGGAAGUUGGCGGGGUAACGGCCCACCAAUCCUUCGAUGGGUAGGGGUUCUGAGAGGAAGGCCCCCCAGAAUGGGACUGAGAUACGGUCCAAACACCGACGGGAGGCAGCGGUGAGGAAUAUUGGUCAGUGGGCGAGAGCCGGAACCAGCCAAGUAGAGUGCGGGAUGAAGGCCGUUGGGGUCGUAAUCCGAUUUUGUCAGUGAAUAAAGUGCACUACGUGUGGUGUUAUUGCAGGUAGCUGAAGAAAAAGGACCGGCUAAUUCCGUG